Long non-coding RNA from Helianthus annuus (common sunflower), 952 nucleotides. RefSeq lists it as uncharacterized. The transcript is spliced from 4 exons. The record is from RefSeq and is a predicted model, not a curated record. Lineage: Eukaryota; Viridiplantae; Streptophyta; Magnoliopsida; Asterales; Asteraceae.
UCAUCUCCUUUUUGUGAGAAACCCUAACUUCCUAAGCUCCAUCUCUAAAUAUACACACAUAUUAACAAACACAAAGACUUCAUCUUCUUCACAUGACAAACCCCACCCACAACACCACUCCCUUCCACCUCCGGUGAAACCGCCGGCCGGUGCCGGUAAACCGACAACCACACAUCUCACCUUCACCUCCUCCCUCUUCAUCUUUGAUCACCCGCAGCCCCCUGUUAAUCGGCCAACCACCACGAUCGUAUGGUGAUAGCGGGCUACAACAGCAACACCACCACCACAGGCGGCGGCGCUGUGGUGGGUGGUGCCGGUCGAGACGACUAGCGAGAAAGAGAGAGAGACGAAGAGAAAGUCGGAGGUGUCGGAGAUGGAGCCGCUCACAGCGGCGGUAGUACGACACCAGUGACGAUGGGGAUUUGCUUGAUUUCUGAUAAAAUUUAGUGAAGAUCGGUGGUCGACCGCGGCGGUAUAGCCGCUGGAGUUAACAGCAGCGGCGGUAGGAGACUCGUCUGAUGAGUUUCACGUUGAUUUCAAGUUUGGUUCGGGAUUUUUGUUCGGUUCGGUCAACAGGAGUCAGACCUGGUCAACUUCGGUCAACAGAAGUCAACGGUCCGGGUCAGCGGUCAGAAUUUUGGGUCUCGGCUCAGAUCGGGUUCGGUUCAAUCAGAUUGGUCUACUUCAGACAUGGUUUGGGUCAACUCGGUUAACCGAGUUAACUCGGUCAACUCAGUCAAUGCGAGUCAACCCGGUUGACUCAGUCAACUGGUCAACUCAGUCAACGAAGUCAGUCAGUCAACAGCAGUCAACACGCAAGACCCGGAAUGCUUUAGUUGCACGCUAGCGAGUUCACAUUCGUGGGAUGACACUACGGAAUCACAUUUAGCUAGCUAUGCACAGGAAUAUACAGGUUGCAUUUUCAAAACUAUAGAACGGUUGGAAUAGGAGA